RNAcentral lists this long non-coding RNA (674 nucleotides) under Chloebia gouldiae (Gouldian finch). RNAcentral describes it as "Erythrura gouldiae (Gouldian finch) lncRNA (ENSEGOG00005005797.1)". The record is from RNAcentral. Lineage: Eukaryota; Metazoa; Chordata; Aves; Passeriformes; Passeridae.
AUUUGUAAUCCUUAGCUGAUGUUAAAUGUGGAGCUACUGGUGGCUGAGAUUGCUCUGUACAUAGUGAAGCUUAGAGAAGCCUUGGCAGCUUGACAUGGAGUUUUUUCUCCUAAUGUUGCUGGACAGGAAUAACAGGGAGGUCAGUGUCUGUUCUGUGUGUCAGCUUUUACUCUGCUGACCUGAAAUUUGGGUGUUUCUAACUCCUUGCAGUCAGACUUCAGGUCCAGCAGGGUCACAGCCUUGCUGGGGUGCUGCUGGAGUUACUGAGAACUGUGUGCUUGGAUAGAUUGGUAGCUGUUAAGGACUCUGAGGUAUAUAACAGAUUAAUACUCUGCACUGCUCAUUCUAGAUGGGAAAAUUGUUUGAAGCGUUGUUUCAUGAAUUUUGAGUAAGUGCUAAACAGGAAGCUUUCAUUUCAUUGGUGAAAAUGUUCAAACAUUCUUGUUUUUUUUAUUCCCUAAAUACCCAUAUCCUGCUGUGCCAUGAUAGUUUGAUAGCAUGACUAUUACAUACCAACAGAUUCCUAAAACAUACCUUUGAUUAAGCUAAACUCUCUUAUUUUGCUAGUAAAAUUAAUGAAUUUUCUGUGCAGAUUUUGGUCUUGUGUAACUUCCUAUGUAGAUGGGAGCAGUGAUCUCUACUUGCAGAACUCAAUACUGAGGAUCUUCAUGUAA